RNAcentral lists this microRNA precursor (100 nucleotides) under Aotus nancymaae (Ma's night monkey). RNAcentral describes it as "miRNA (ENSANAG00000010425.1)". Lineage: Eukaryota; Metazoa; Chordata; Mammalia; Primates; Aotidae. The record is from RNAcentral.
UGAGGCAGGAGAAUUGCUUGAACCCAGGAGGUGGAGGUUGCAGUGAGCCGAGAUCGUGCCAAUAUACUCCAGCCUGGGUGACAGAGUGAGACUCCAUCUC